Molecule: ribosomal RNA, 253 nt
Filed under: uncultured bacterium
Lineage: Bacteria
Description: partial 16S ribosomal RNA
Rfam family: Bacterial small subunit ribosomal RNA
Source: RNAcentral
UACGUAGGGGGCAAGCGUUGUCCGGAAUCAUUGGGCGUAAAGAGCGUGUAGGCGGCUUGGUAAGUCCGCUGUGAAAGUCCAGGGCUCAACCCUGGAAUGCCGGUGGAUACUGGCAAGCUGGAGUAUGGUAGAGGAAGGUGGAAUUCCCGGUGUAGCAGUGAAAUGCGUAGAGAUCGGGAGGAACACCAGUGGCGAAGGCGGCCUUCUGGACCAAUACCGACGCUCAUGCACGAAAGCGUGGGGAGCAAACAGG